GGAAUUUUGGACAAUGGGCGAAAGCCUGAUCCAGCCAUGCCGCGUGUGUGAAGAAGGUCUUCGGAUUGUAAAGCACUUUAAGUUGGGAGGACGGGCAGUCAGCGAAUACCUUGUUGUUUUGCAGUGACCGACAGCAUAAGACCCGGCGACCUCUGUCCCAGCACCCGCGGUAAGACAGAGGGUGCAAGCGUUAAUCGGAAUUACUGGGCGUAAAGCGCGCGUAGGUGGUUCGUUAAGUUGGAUGUGAAAUCCCCGGGCUCAACCUGGGAACUGCAUCCAAAACUGGCGAGCUAGAGUAGGGCAGAGGGUGGUGGAAUUUCCUGUGUAGCGGUGAAAUGCGUAGAUAUAGGAAGGAACACCAGUGGCGAAGGCGACCACCUGGGCUCAUACUGACACUGAGGUGCGAAAGCGUGGGGAGCAAACAG
This 425-nucleotide ribosomal RNA is filed under the name uncultured bacterium. RNAcentral's name for it is "partial 16S ribosomal RNA". It matches the Rfam family "Bacterial small subunit ribosomal RNA", at positions 358 to 775 of the family's 1533-position model. The record is from RNAcentral.